RNAcentral lists this transfer RNA (72 nucleotides) under Patescibacteria group bacterium. Its description in RNAcentral is "tRNA-Cys". It matches the Rfam family "tRNA". From Rfam's summary of the family: Transfer RNA (tRNA) molecules are approximately 80 nucleotides in length. Their secondary structure includes four short double-helical elements and three loops (D, anti-codon, and T loops). Further hydrogen bonds mediate the characteristic L-shaped molecular structure. tRNAs have two regions of fundamental functional importance: the anti-codon, which is responsible for specific mRNA codon recognition, and the 3' end, to which the tRNAs corresponding amino acid is attached (by aminoacyl-tRNA synthetases). tRNAs cope with the degeneracy of the genetic code in two manners: having more than one tRNA (with a specific anti-codon) for a particular amino acid; and 'wobble' base-pairing, i.e. permitting non-standard base-pairing at the 3rd anti-codon position. The record is from RNAcentral.
GGCCCGGUGGCGAAUUAGGAACGCGACGGUCUGCAAAACCGUUACGAGCGGGUGCAAUCCCCGCCCGGGCCU